UCAAGUUCGAACGGCAGCAUGAUCUAGCUUGCUAGAUUGAUGGCGAGUGGCGAACGGGUGAGUAAUACAUCGGAACGUGCCCUGUAGUGGGGGAUAACUAGUCGAAAGAUUAGCUAAUACCGCAUACGACCUGAGGGUGAAAGUGGGGGACCGCAAGGCCUCAUGCUAUAGGAGCGGCCGAUGUCUGAUUAGCUAGUUGGUGGGGUAAAGGCCCACCAAGGCGACGAUCAGUAGCUGGUCUGAGAGGACGAUCAGCCACACUGGGACUGAGACACGGCCCAGACUCCUACGGGAGGCAGCAGUGGGGAAUUUUGGACAAUGGGCGAAAGCCUGAUCCAGCAAUGCCGCGUGUGUGAAGAAGGCCUUCGGGUUGUAAAGCACUUUUGUCCGGAAAGAAAUCGCACUUACUAAUACUAGGUGUGGAUGACGGUACCGGAAGAAUAAGGACCGGCUAACUACGUGCCAGCAGCCGCGGUAAUACGUAGGGUCCAAGCGUUAAUCGGAAUUACUGGGCGUAAAGCGUGCGCAGGCGGUUGUGCAAGACCGAUGUGAAAUCCCCGAGCUUAACUUGGGAAUUGCAUUGGUGACUGCACGGCUAGAGUGUGUCAGAGGGGGGUAGAAUUCCACGUGUAGCAGUGAAAUGCGUAGAGAUGUGGAGGAAUACCGAUGGCGAAGGCAGCCCCCUGGGAUAACACUGACGCUCAUGCACGAAAGCGUGGGGAGCAAACAGGAUUAGAUACCCUGGUAGUCCACGCCCUAAACGAUGUCAACUAGUUGUUGGGGAUUCAUUUCCUUAGUAACGUAGCUAACGCGUGAAGUUGACCGCCUGGGGAGUACGGUCGCAAGAUUAAAACUCAAAGGAAUUGACGGGGACCCGCACAAGC
Molecule: ribosomal RNA, 884 nt
Filed under: Ralstonia sp.
Lineage: Bacteria; Pseudomonadati; Pseudomonadota; Betaproteobacteria; Burkholderiales; Burkholderiaceae
Description: bacterial SSU rRNA
Rfam family: Bacterial small subunit ribosomal RNA
Source: RNAcentral